UACGAAGGGGGCUAGCGUUGUUCGGAAUCACUGGGCGUAAAGCGCGUGUAGGCGGAUUGUUAAGUCGGGGGGUGAAAUCCUGAGGCUCAACCUCAGAACUGCCUUCGAUACUGGCGAUCUUGAGUCCGAGAGAGGUGAGUGGAACUCCUAGUGUAGAGGUGAAAAUUCGUAGAUAUUAGGAAGAACACCAGUGGCGAAGGCGGCUCACUGGCUCGGUACUGACGCUGAUAUGCGAAACGUGGGGAGCAA
This 249-nucleotide ribosomal RNA is filed under the name uncultured bacterium. RNAcentral describes it as "partial 16S ribosomal RNA". It matches the Rfam family "Bacterial small subunit ribosomal RNA", at positions 524 to 771 of the family's 1533-position model. The record is from RNAcentral.